RNAcentral lists this long non-coding RNA (253 nucleotides) under Phoenix dactylifera (date palm). RNAcentral describes it as "long non-coding RNA (PDAC_LNC003409)". Lineage: Eukaryota; Viridiplantae; Streptophyta; Magnoliopsida; Arecales; Arecaceae. The record is from RNAcentral.
UUGCUACCUUCACCACAUCACUGCUGCCCUACCAUCAUCUCUCCUUUCACCACCACCAUCAAAUCUCCUUCCACCACCACCGCUGCUCUUAUUGUCACCACCAUUACCUACCACAAUGCGGCUAUCCUCACCACUAAUACCACUGAAGCUGCUACUGCCUCCACCAUUACUGUCACCACAUCCAUCAUUAUUGUCAUGCUUAUAUUUUUAAAAUCAUUGAUUAUACCAAAUAUAUUUUUAAAAAUUUAAAAAA